UCCGGAAUUUUGGGCAAUGGGGGAAACCCUGACCCAGCAACGCCGCGUGAAGGAUGAAGUAUUUCGGUAUGUAAACUUCGAAAGAAUAGGAAGAAUAAAUGACGGUACUAUUUAUAAGGUCCGGCUAACUACGUGCCAGCAGCCGCGGUAAUACGUAGGGACCAAGCGUUGUUCGGAUUUACUGGGCGUAAAGGGCGCGUAGGCGGCAUGACAAGUCACUUGUGAAAUCUCUGGGCUUAACCCAGAACGGCCAAGUGAUACUGUCGCGCUAGAGUGCAGAAGGGGCAAUCGGAAUUCUUGGUGUAGCGGUGAAAUGCGUAGAUAUCAAGAGGAACACCUGAGGUGAAGACGGGUUGCUGGGCUGACACUGACGCUGAGGCGCGAAAGCCAGGGGAGCAAACGGGAUUAGAUACCCCUGUAGUCCCUGAGCGGGCUGGCAAGGCGCAU
RNAcentral lists this ribosomal RNA (447 nucleotides) under uncultured bacterium. RNAcentral describes it as "bacterial SSU rRNA". It matches the Rfam family "Bacterial small subunit ribosomal RNA", at positions 355 to 825 of the family's 1533-position model. The record is from RNAcentral.